Molecule: microRNA precursor, 123 nt
Filed under: Picea abies (Norway spruce)
Lineage: Eukaryota; Viridiplantae; Streptophyta; Pinopsida; Pinales; Pinaceae
Description: miR11527 stem-loop (pab-MIR11527)
Source: miRBase by way of RNAcentral
CCCACGCUGUUUUGUUUAUAUCUUCUGAGUAAAGGCACGUUCGGUCAUUACGAGCGUGAAAUUGCCAAAGAAUUUUUCGAAAUGCCCGCACGUGCCUUUACUCAGAAGAUAUAAACAAGUGGG